Molecule: ribosomal RNA, 330 nt
Filed under: uncultured Bacillota bacterium
Lineage: Bacteria; Bacillati; Bacillota
Description: bacterial SSU rRNA
Rfam family: Bacterial small subunit ribosomal RNA
Source: RNAcentral
GACUAACGCUGGCGGCGUGCUUAACACAUGCAAGUUGAACGGGGCACAUCAAGUAGCAAUACGAGGUGUGCUUAGUAGCGGACGGGUGAGUAACACGUGAGCAAUCUGCCUUUGUGAGGGGGACAACAGCCGGAAACGGCUGCUAAUACCGCAUAAGACCACGAUUCCGAGUGGAGUUGGGGUAAAAGAUUUAUCGCACAAAGAUGAGCUCGCGUCCCAUUAGCUAGUUGGUGAGGUAACGGCCCACCAAGGCGACGAUGGGUAGCCGACCUGAGAGGGUGAUCGGCCACACUGGAACUGAGACACGGUCCAGACUCCUACGGGUGGCUG